This is a long non-coding RNA of Oryzias melastigma (Indian medaka), 1096 nucleotides long. RefSeq lists it as uncharacterized. NCBI's taxonomy places the organism in Eukaryota, Metazoa, Chordata, Actinopteri, Beloniformes, Adrianichthyidae. The record is from RefSeq and is a predicted model, not a curated record. The transcript is spliced from 2 exons.
GCGCUCUGUCUGCGUCGUGGCAAUUCCGAGUGGAGGGCGGCCGCCCCAGAGCGCGCAGAGCUGCAAGACCCACAGGGGGUGGAGUCUCCAGGAACAACCAUACCUGGCCCACAGGUUUAUUUCGAGUGUUUUCUGAACACAAAGAUGCAGCAACAUUUUGGAAGAGGAGGGUGUCGUUUCCUUUUCCACAGCAGUCAAGCUGAAGGCAACCAGGAGCAGAAGCAAGACGUCACUCAAUCUGUUUUCAAAUAAACCUCUUUUUCUGUGAUGAAAAAAAGGAUUUGGCUUUGACGUACUGCAUUGUGGAAAACGUUGAGGACUUUGGAGGCCGAGUCUUUACUGGAGGUGUCUGACACAUCCAUAGCCUUGAUGUAAGCGGCGUCGUAAAAAUUGAUGAGUUCUUUGGAAACCUGCGGAUGAUAGGUGACACGCUGGCGUUUACUGGAACAGAGGCGAAAACGUCAAUGAUAAGCGAUGAGUGUGUGUGUGUGUGUGUGUUUUCAUUUACGCACAGUGUCUUUGUUCAUGAAACCCCAGAGAGCUGCGGCCACUUCACAGGCAAAGAGGAUCACCAAAAAGAAGAAGAACUGUCGAAAAAGAAUCCAUCAAAAACGUACAAAACAUUGUGGGAAAAUAGGAAUUUGUGCCGCCGUCAGAUUUUGAAGUGCUCACCGUUCCCAGUAGACACUGAGAUUCCUGAAUGGCACCGUAACAUCCAAGGAAUCCCACCAGCAUCAUCACAGCUCCAACUGCUAUCAGGAUGUACACACCUGUACUCAAAAAAAAAAAAGCAACACUUUGUCAUUGACACCACCAGGGGGCAGCAAAGUCAGGAAUAGAUCCUUCUGUCUCCUCUCCACACAAUGUUUAGUAAUGGGCUUCCUGCAUGUUCUCCCUGCUUUUUCUGUGAGGUGACAUGACAUUAUUGACAUCCUGGAGAUAAACGGCUCCCAGAUCCUGACUCAGAGAGAGACCGCUCAGAGCAGCCCGCCACGAGAGGAAAUGCCUUUCCCACAAUCCUUCAUCUCUCCUGACCAUUGACCCCGAGCGCUUCCCAGGAAACAGAAGGAGGCAUUUAAAAAAAAAAAAAAAAAAA